GCGUUGGUGGUUCAGUGGUAGAAUUCUCGCCUGCCACGCGGGAGACCGGGGUUCGAUACCCCGCCAACGCA
Molecule: transfer RNA, 71 nt
Filed under: Paramuricea clavata
Lineage: Eukaryota; Metazoa; Cnidaria; Anthozoa; Malacalcyonacea; Plexauridae
Rfam family: tRNA
About the family: Transfer RNA (tRNA) molecules are approximately 80 nucleotides in length. Their secondary structure includes four short double-helical elements and three loops (D, anti-codon, and T loops).
Source: Rfam by way of RNAcentral